RNAcentral lists this ribosomal RNA (448 nucleotides) under uncultured bacterium. RNAcentral's name for it is "SSU rRNA". It matches the Rfam family "Bacterial small subunit ribosomal RNA", at positions 26 to 518 of the family's 1533-position model. The record is from RNAcentral.
AGAACGAACGCUGGCGGCAGGCUUAACACAUGCAAGUCGAACGCUCGUAGCAAUACGGGAGUGGCAGACGGGUGAGUAACGCGUGGGAACAUACCCUCCGGUUCGGAAUAACUCAGGGAAACUUGAGCUAAUACCGGAUACGGCUGAGAGGCGAAAGAUUUAUCGCCGGAGGAUUGGCCCGCGUCCGAUUAGCUAGUUGGUGAGGUAACGGCUCACCAAGGCGACGAUCGGUAGCUGGUCUGAGAGGAUGAUCAGCCACAUUGGGACUGAGACACGGCCCAAACUCCUACGGGAGGCAGCAGUGGGGAAUAUUGGACAAUGGGCGCAAGCCUGAUCCAGCCAUGCCGCGUGAGUGAUGACGGCCUUAGGGUUGUAAAGGCUCUUUCGCUCGGGACGAUAAUGACGGUACCGAGAUAAGAAGCCCGGCUAACUUCGCGCCAGCAGCCGC